RNAcentral lists this ribosomal RNA (165 nucleotides) under uncultured bacterium. Its description in RNAcentral is "partial 16S ribosomal RNA". It matches the Rfam family "Bacterial small subunit ribosomal RNA", at positions 347 to 509 of the family's 1533-position model. The record is from RNAcentral.
GGCAGCAGUGAGGAAUAUUGGUCAAUGGGCGAGAGCCUGAACCAGCCAAGUCGCGUGAGGGAAGACGGUCCUACGGAUUGUAAACCUCUUUUGUCGGGGAGCAAUAAAGCGUACGCGUACGCAGAUGCGAGUACCCGAAGAAAAAGCAUCGGCUAACUCCGUGCC